CUAACACAUGCAAGUCGAGCGGGGAAUGUUGAGCAGCUUGCUGCUUGAUAUUUCUAGCGGCGGACGGGUGAGUAACGCGUGAGCAACCUGCCUUUAUCAGGGGGAUAACGCAUCGAAAGAUGUGCUAAUACCGCGUAAGACCACAGCUUCACAUGGAGCAGGGGUCAAAGGAGCAAUCCGGAUAAAGAUGGGCUCGCGUCCGAUUAGCUAGUUGGUGAGAUAACAGCCCACCAAGGCAACGAUCGGUAGCCGACCUGAGAGGGUGAUCGGCCACAUUGGAACUGAGAAACGGUCCAGACUCCUACGGGAGGCAGCAGUGGGGAAUAUUGGGCAAUGGGCGAAAGCCUGACCCAGCAACGCCGCGUGAGGGAAGAAGGGUUUCGGCUCGUAAACCUCUGUCCUAUGGGACGAAGGAAGUGACGGUACCAUAGGAGGAAGCCCCGGCUAACUACGUGCCAGCAGCCGCGGUAAUACGUAGGGGGCGAGCGUUGUCCGGAAUGAUUGGGCGUAAAGGGCGCGUAGGCGGCCUGCUAAGUCUGGAGUGAAAGUCCUGCUUUCAAGGUGGGAAUUGCUUUGGAUACUGGUGGGCUGGAGUG
This 596-nucleotide ribosomal RNA is filed under the name uncultured Bacillota bacterium. RNAcentral describes it as "bacterial SSU rRNA". It matches the Rfam family "Bacterial small subunit ribosomal RNA", at positions 48 to 648 of the family's 1533-position model. Lineage: Bacteria; Bacillati; Bacillota. The record is from RNAcentral.